This 443-nucleotide unclassified non-coding RNA is filed under the name uncultured Ascomycota. RNAcentral describes it as "sequence contains ITS2". Lineage: Eukaryota; Fungi; Ascomycota. The record is from RNAcentral.
AACUUUCGACAACGGAUCUCUUCAAGCACGCUGCGCGGCAUUUGAUGGGCUUCGUCGAUCACCAAUACGGUCGUCAGUCCCUUUUCGAAUUGCGCCAGCAGAAAGCCGUAUAGGGCGCGCAGCAGCUGUCCCUUGCUGGGUUCCGCGACUUUAAUUCCCAGCUCAAAGGUGAUGUAGCUCAGGAAAUCCGUCGUGGAUAAUCUUGGCCCGAUAAAAUACGCGUAGGGAAUUUGCUCGCGCUCCCACAAAUCAAACAGGCAGCGCAGCAUCAGCGUCUUGCCAGUCCCCACCUCGCCGGUCAUCACGAUAAAACCCUUCCGCCGGCAGAUGGCGUAGUAAAUCGACGCGAGCGCGUCCUUGUUCCUUUCCGACGAAAAUAAAAAGAAAGGAUCGGGCGAGAGCUCGAAAGGGCUCCGAUUUAAGCAUAUCAAUAAGCGGAGGCU